This 143-nucleotide small nucleolar RNA is filed under the name Setaria italica (foxtail millet). RNAcentral's name for it is "Small nucleolar RNA snoR145". It matches the Rfam family "Small nucleolar RNA snoR145". Lineage: Eukaryota; Viridiplantae; Streptophyta; Magnoliopsida; Poales; Poaceae. The record is from Rfam by way of RNAcentral. RNAcentral also lists the same sequence under 1 other name.
GAUUGAAGGUCCCAGCAGAGGCUUGAUCUGAAAAUAUGAGAGCUCUCUAACAUUGUAACCUUCAUAAAUAAAUUAAGCCAUGUCGUACGAUGCUUGAAUUUUGCUUUGUAUUUCACAGCAUCUCAUACCAUGGCUACAGAGAU